Molecule: long non-coding RNA, 204 nt
Filed under: Mytilus galloprovincialis (Mediterranean mussel)
Lineage: Eukaryota; Metazoa; Mollusca; Bivalvia; Mytilida; Mytilidae
Source: RNAcentral
AAAAAAUUCCAUCUGCGCUUUCUCAAAGAAACUUUUACAGUGUGUUGUACUACUUUUGGGACAAAUUAUAUCAACAUUAUAGAAAACUUCAUCGGCUCUAACUCAAAAUAUGGACAAUUUUAUGUUUAGGGCGUCUUGAAAUCUUUUGACAGCUUCCGAAGUGCUAAUUUUUAACCUUUUUCAACUGGACCAAAUCACUACUUU